AAAGUCCCGAACGAUAAAGGCCUAGCAAGCCAUAUUGUCCCCGAGUCAUGCGUGAGGAGUGGCCGUGAGGCACGUCACGAAGCGUUGACAGGGGUGCGUGUAGGCCAGCCAUUGAGCCGCGAAAUAAUCGAAUUCCGGGACGCCGACGCUUUCGUGCUUGCGGAAGGCAACACGGACAGCCGCGCUAUUGCGAGCGGUUGUCCGGUCCCGCGCGGUCCGAGACUC
Non-coding RNA from Pseudomonadales bacterium, 225 nucleotides. Lineage: Bacteria; Pseudomonadati; Pseudomonadota; Gammaproteobacteria; Pseudomonadales. The record is from Rfam.